CCUACGGGAGGCAGCAGUGAGGAAUAUUGGUCAAUGGGCGAGAGCCUGAACCAGCCAAGUCGCGUGAGGGAGUACUGCCCUAUGGGUUGUAAACCUCUUUUGUCGGGGAGCAAAAGCCGGACGUGUCCGGCUGUGAGAGUACCCGAAGAAACAGCAUCGGCUAACUCCGUGCCAGCAGCCGCGGUAAUACGGAGGAUGCGAGCGUUAUCCGGAGUUAUUGGGUUUAAAGGGUGCGCAGGCGGAUUUUUAAGUCAGCGGUAAAAUCGGGGGGCUCAACCCCAUCCAGCCGUUGAAACUGGGGAUCUAGAGUGUGCGAGAGGUAUGCGGAAUGCGUGGUGUAGCGGUGAAAUGCAUAGAUAUCACGCAGAACCCCGAUUGCGAAGGCAGCAUACCGGUGCACAACUGACGCUCAGGCACGAAAGCGUGGGUAUCGAACAGGAUUAGAUACCCCUGUAGUC
RNAcentral lists this ribosomal RNA (458 nucleotides) under uncultured bacterium. RNAcentral describes it as "partial 16S ribosomal RNA". It matches the Rfam family "Bacterial small subunit ribosomal RNA", at positions 338 to 795 of the family's 1533-position model. The record is from RNAcentral.